RNAcentral lists this ribosomal RNA (498 nucleotides) under uncultured bacterium. RNAcentral describes it as "partial 16S ribosomal RNA". It matches the Rfam family "Bacterial small subunit ribosomal RNA", at positions 38 to 507 of the family's 1533-position model. The record is from RNAcentral.
GGGGGGGGGGGGGGGGGGGCCGGGGAGAUGCGGGGCGGGCGGACGGAGGGGAGGGCGGUCCCAGGCCGUCAGCGGCGGACGGGUGAGUAACACGUGGGCAACCUGCCUGUAAGGCUGGGAUAACUCCGGGGAACCGGGGCUAAUACCGGAUAACUCUUUCCCUCACAUGAGGGAAAGCUGAAAGAUGGCAUCUCGCUAUCACUUACAGAUGGGCCCGCGGCGCAUUAGCUAUUGGGUGAGGUAACGUCUCACCAAGGCGACGAUGCGUAGCCGACCUGAGAGGGUGAUCGGCCACACUGGGACUGAGACACGGCCCAGACUCCUACGGGAGGCAGCAGUAGGGAAUCUUCCGCAAUGGACGAAAGUCUGACGGAGCAACGCCGCGUGAGUGAUGAAGGUUUUCGGAUCGUAAAACUCUGUUGUCAGGGAAGAACAAGUACCGGAGUAACUGCCGGUACCUUGACGGUACCUGACCAGAAAGCCACGGCUAACUACGUG